GUUUGAUCAUGGCUCAGGAUGAACGCUGGCGGCGUGCUUAACACAUGCAAGUCGAACGAAGCACCUGAUUUGAUUUUCUUCGGAAUUGAAGAUCUUGUGACUGAGUGGCGGACGGGUGAGUAACGCGUGGGCAACCUGCCUUGUACAGGGGGAUAACAGUUAGAAAUGACUGCUAAUACCGCAUAAGACCACAGCACCACAUGGUGCAGGGGUAAAAACUGAGGUGGUACAAGAUGGGCCCGCGUCUGAUUAGCUGGUUGGUGAGGUAACGGCUCACCAAGGCGACGAUCAGUAGCCGACCUGAGAGGGUGACCGGCCACAUUGGGACUGAGACACGGCCCAAACUCCUACGGGAGGCAGCAGUGGGGAAUAUUGCACAAUGGGGGAAACCCUGAUGCAGCGACGCCGCGUGAGUGAUGAAGUAUUUCGGUAUGUAAAGCUCUAUCAGCAGGGAAGAAAAUGACGGUACCUGACUAAGAAGCCCCGGCUAACUACGUGCCAGCAGCCGCGGUAAUACGUAGGGGGCAAGCGUUAUCCGGAUUUACUGGGUGUAAAGGGAGCGUAGACGGAACAGCAAGUCUGAUGUGAAAACCCGGGGCUCAACCCCGGGACUGCAUUGGAAACU
RNAcentral lists this ribosomal RNA (625 nucleotides) under uncultured bacterium. RNAcentral describes it as "bacterial SSU rRNA". It matches the Rfam family "Bacterial small subunit ribosomal RNA", at positions 11 to 634 of the family's 1533-position model. The record is from RNAcentral.